Molecule: ribosomal RNA, 417 nt
Filed under: uncultured bacterium
Lineage: Bacteria
Description: bacterial SSU rRNA
Rfam family: Bacterial small subunit ribosomal RNA
Source: RNAcentral
UAUUGGCCAAUGGACGCGAGUCUGAACCAGCCAAGUAGCGUGAAGGAUGACUGCCCUAUGGGUUGUAAACUUCUUGUAUAUGGGAAUAAAGUUUUCCACGUGUGGAAUUUUGUAUGUACCAUAUGAAUAAGGAUCGGCUAACUCCGUGCCAGCAGCCGCGGUAAUACGGAGGAUCCGAGCGUUAUCCGGAUUUAUUGGGUUUAAAGGGUGCGUAGGUGGACAGGUAAGUCAGUUGUUAAAGUUUGCGGCUCAACCGUAAAAUUGUAGUUGAAACUGGCAGUCUUGAGUACAGUAGAGGUGGGCGGAAUUCGUGGUGUAGCGGUGAAAUGCUUAGAGAUCACGAAGAACUCCGAUUGCGAAGGCAGCUCACUGGACUGUUGACUGACACUGAGGCUCGAAAGUGUGGGUAUCAAACAG